GUGGGGAAUCUUGCGCAAUGGGCGAAAGCCUGACGCAGCCAUGCAGCGUGAAUGAUGAAGGUCUUAGGAUUGUAAAAUUCUUUCACCGGGGACGAUAAUGACGGUACUCGGAGAAGAAGCCCCGGCUAACUUCGUGCCAGCAGCCGCGGUAAUACGACGGGGGCUAGCGUUGCUCGGAAUUACUGGGCGUAAAGGGAGCGUAGGCGGAUAGUUUAGUCAGAGGUGAAAGCCCAGGGCUCAACCUUGGAAUUGCCUUUGAUACUGGCUAUCUUGAGUAUGGAAGAGGUAUGUGGAACUCCGAGUGUAGAGGUGAAAUUCGUAGAUAUUCGGAAGAACACCAGUGGCGAAGGCGACAUACUGGUCCAUUACUGACGCUGAGGCUCGAAGGCGUGGGGAGCAAACAGGAUUAGAUACCCUGGUAGUCC
RNAcentral lists this ribosomal RNA (425 nucleotides) under uncultured bacterium. RNAcentral describes it as "partial 16S ribosomal RNA". It matches the Rfam family "Bacterial small subunit ribosomal RNA", at positions 354 to 796 of the family's 1533-position model. The record is from RNAcentral.